GAUGAACGCUGGCGGCGUGCCUAACACAUGCAAGUCGAACGGAGCUGUCGGAGCUUGCUUUGACAGCUUAGUGGCGAACGGGUGAGUAACGCGUGAGCAACCUGCCCUUGAGAGGGGGAUAACAUCGGGAAACCGAUGCUAAUACCGCAUAAAAUAUGCAGAUGGCAUCAUUGGCAUAUCAAAGGAGAAAUCCGCUCAAGGAUGGGCUCGCGUCUGAUUAGAUAGUUGGUGAGGUAACGGCCCACCAAGUCGACGAUCAGUAGCCGGACUGAGAGGUUGACCGGCCACAUUGGGACUGAGACACGGCCCAGACUCCUACGGGAGGCAGCAGUGGGGAAUAUUGGGCAAUGGGGGAACCCUGACCCAGCAACGCCGCGUGAAGGAAGAAGGCCUUCGGUUGUAAACUUCUUGUACAGGGAAGAAGGAAGUGACGGUACCUGAGAACAAGCUCCGGCUAACUACGUGCCAGCAGCCGCGGUAAUAGUGUGUA
Molecule: ribosomal RNA, 490 nt
Filed under: uncultured bacterium
Lineage: Bacteria
Description: bacterial SSU rRNA
Rfam family: Bacterial small subunit ribosomal RNA
Source: RNAcentral